GUUCUAACAAACAGCAGUACUUUUAUUCUCUAGUACCAACUGGGUGUCCAACAAGUCACUUCUGACACCAGCCAGAGUUAGCAUAGACUCUGUAAGUUAAAUGAGCAGUGCCACAAGACUGCCCUCACUUCAGACAGUAGCCAAAAAUGAGGUAUCCAGGAUAUCUGCACUUGUGCCCUGUCAGCUACAAAUUAGGGGUUCCCACCCUUGUCAGGUUCAGUACACUAGAACAACUUAAAGAACUGAGGAAAGUGCUACAUUUACUAGUAUAGUUUUACUCUAAAGGAUACAACCCAGGGGCACCUGGCUGGCUCAGUUGGUAGAGCAUGUGACUCAUGAUCUCUGGGUUAAGUUUGUGCCCCGAGUUGGGUGAAGGAAUUACUUUAAAAUGUCUUUUAAAAAAUGCCAAAUGGAAAAGAUGUAUAGGGCAAAGGGAGUUGGGGGAGGUGGGCAGAGCUUCUGUGAACUUUUGGUGCUCUACUCUCCCUACACAGGAUGUGUUCACCAACCUGGAAGCUCUCUUAACCCUUUACCUUGUUUACUAAAUUUCAUUACCUAGAUGCGAUUGAUGAAAUCAUUGGCCAUUGACUAUUGAACUUACUCUCCAGCCUCUCCCUGGAUAUCUUGGGGUGUGGCUGAUUAUUCCAGCCCCCUAAUCAUGUGGUUGCUUGCACUGGUGACCAGUGCCAAGAUCACCUCAUUAGCAUAAACUCAGGUAUAGGCAAAAAGGAGCGUAUGACAAAAAACAUCUCAGGAAAUUCCAAGGAUCUUAAGAGCUCUGUGCCAAGAACCAGGGACAAGACUGAAUAUAUAUAUUUUUAUUAUACCUUACCUACAAUCCGAUUCAAAGGAAAACUAAACUGAACCCUAAUAGGAAUACAUUUAAAACCCAGAAGUCAGGCAGCCCCGGUGGCGUAGUGGCUUGGCGCCUGCCUUCGGCCCAGGACAUGAUCCCACGUCCGGCUUCCUGCAUGGAGCCUGCUUAAAAAGGCUGACUUCCUCAUACACUAUUGAAAGGAAUAUUAGUGUGGAAAUAUAUGUGCUUCUGUUUCUGCUACAUUCAACUUGAAAUUAAAGAUUUCAAGACCGAAAGGGUCUUUGAAGUUCUAGACUAUUUGCCCAUGUUAUAAUUGGAAUAAGGCAACAGUACCGAGGCCUAAAUGUAGAUCAAGUCCACAAGAAAAUCAAGUAUGUUUUAAUGUACAUCUUCAAUUGAACAUGAGUUGUUUUAAACACAUUAUCGGAAGGUCAUCAGUGUAUUCACAUGGAAAUAAUGUUUUAUAACUAUGUCAUACAAAAUUAAAAGGAAAUGCCUGACCUUAAAAGUUUAGCCUGAUUCUGUUGGAGAAAACUUAGCUUCACAUUCCUUAGGUUUAACACUCUUAAUUACAUCAAGAGAGGAGGGGAACCUAAGCUUAAUAUUUUUCAGAUAUGAUGUGCUGAGCUGUGCUAUGGCUCUUACACCAUUUGUCAUAAAAGACUUAAAAUGAGAAGCGGCAGGAAUUAAAAUUUAAACCCUCCCCACCACCACUACCAAUUAAUACAAUCCUUUGUAGUUGGAGACCUAGAAGUAUAUUGCUUUAAAAAGGUAACAGGAAAAAAAAAAUAAUAAAAAAA
This 1617-nucleotide long non-coding RNA is filed under the name Canis lupus familiaris (dog). RNAcentral describes it as "lncRNA (ENSCAFG00000052316.1, ENSCAFG00805000709.1, ENSCAFG00845001654.1)". Lineage: Eukaryota; Metazoa; Chordata; Mammalia; Carnivora; Canidae. The record is from RNAcentral.